AUUGAACGCUGGCGGUAGGCUUAACACAUGCAAGUCGAGCGGAAACGAUGUAGCUUGCUACAGGCGUCGAGCGGCGGACGGGUGAGUAACGCGUAGGAACCUACCUAGUAGUUUGGGAUAGCCCAGAGAAAUUUGGAUUAAUACCGAAUACGCCCCACGGGGGAAAGCGGAGGAUCUUCGGACUUCGCGCUAUUAGAUGGGCCUGCGUAAGAUUAGCUUGUUGGUGAGGUAAUGGCUCACCAAGGCGACGAUCUUUAGCUGGUUUGAGAGGAUGAUCAGCCACACUGGGACUGAGACACGGCCCAGACUCCUACGGGAGGCAGCAGUGGGGAAUAUUGCACAAUGGGCGAAAGCCUGAUGCAGCCAUACCGCGUGUGUGAAGAAGGCUCUAGGGUUGUAAAGCACUUUCAGUAGGGAGGAAAGGUUGUAGAUUAAUACUCUGCAGCUGUGACGUUACCUACAGAAGAAGGACCGGCUAACUCCGUGCCAGCAGCCGCGGUAAUACGGAGGGUCCGAGCGUUAAUCGGAAUUACUGGGCGUAAAGCGUACGUAGGUGGUUUGUUAAGUUGGAUGUGAAAGCCCAGGGCUCAACCUUGGAACUGCAUUCAAAACUGAUGAACUAGAAUAUGGUAGAGGUAAGUGGAAUUUCCUGUGUAGCGGUGAAAUGCGUAGAGAUGGGAAGGAACAUCAGUGGCGAAGGCGACUUACUGGACCAAUAUUGACACUGAGGUACGAAAGCGUGGGUAGCAAACAGGAUUAGAUACCUGGUAGUCCACGCCGUAAACGAUGGUCACUAGCUGUUUGGANCCUUCNGNUCUGAGUGGCNNAGCGAACGUACUAAGUAGACCGCCUGGGGAGUACGUUCGCAAGAAUGGAACUCAAAGGAAUUGACGGGGGCCCGCACAAGCGGUGGAGCAUGUGGUUUAAUUCGAAGCAACGCGAAGAACCUUACCUACUCUUGACAUCCACAGAACUUUUCAGAGAUGAAUUGGUGCCUUCGGGAACUGUGAGACAGGUGCUGCAUGGCUGUCGUCAGCUCGUGUUGUGAAAUGUUGGGUUAAGUCCCGUAACGAGCGCAACCCUUGUCCUUAGUUACCAUCAUUUAGUUGGGUACUCUAAGGAGACUGCCGGUGACAAACCGGAGGAAGGCGGGGACGACGUCAAGUCAUCAUGGCCCUUACGAGUAGGGCUACACACGUGCUACAAUGGCUGGUACAAACGGUUGCGAACCCGCGAGGGGGAGCUAAUCUGAGAAAGCCAGUCGUAGUCCGGAUCGGAGUCUGCAACUCGACUCCGUGAAGUCGGAAUCGCUAGUAAUCGUGAAUCAGAAUGUCACGGUGAAUACGUUCCCGGGCCUUGUACACACCGCCCGUCACACCAUGGGAGUGGGUUGCUCCAGAAGUAGAUAGCUUAACC
RNAcentral lists this ribosomal RNA (1416 nucleotides) under uncultured marine bacterium. RNAcentral describes it as "bacterial SSU rRNA". It matches the Rfam family "Bacterial small subunit ribosomal RNA". The record is from RNAcentral.